GGAAGAUGAUGGAGGACACACCCACUGUUCCAACCAAGGAAUGCUGCUUGUUUUCAUGCUGCUGUCUGGAGGGAGAGCCAAGAGUCCUCCUGGGGAGGAAAGUGUGAAGAACUGAAUGUCUAAAUAAAGGCUGUUCUCUGCGCACCUUGCAUCACACAAGUACCCUCCUGCUGUAUGGAACCUUCCUGCUUGCUCAGAAAAAAUAGACCCAGCCAGUCUGCCAUCAUCCGAUCCCUGCAAGGGAAUGUGCCACCCAUGGUGGGCUCAUCUUUCCACCUCAAUUAAUUCCAUCAGGAUUGGCUACCUUCUACUGCAUCUGGCAUGACCCUGAGCCCAUCUCCCAGGUGAUCUGAGAUUCUGUUGACAGUUAACGUUAACCAUGGCACUCACCUUCCAUAGCUGAGCCCACCUUUCUUCCUAAUGAUUGCAUCAAUCCAGGCAUAAGCCUCUGCUUUGUCAAGAAGUUUCAGAAACAUAGCUUCACUUCUGCAAUGACAUUUGUACAACAAGAAGGAUCCCCGUUAUC
This 526-nucleotide long non-coding RNA is filed under the name Mus musculus (house mouse). RNAcentral's name for it is "predicted gene, 35190". The record is from RNAcentral. Lineage: Eukaryota; Metazoa; Chordata; Mammalia; Rodentia; Muridae.